RNAcentral lists this long non-coding RNA (387 nucleotides) under Ficedula albicollis (Collared flycatcher). Its description in RNAcentral is "lncRNA (ENSFALG00000028601.1)". The record is from RNAcentral. Lineage: Eukaryota; Metazoa; Chordata; Aves; Passeriformes; Muscicapidae.
AAUCACAGGAGGUCAGACUCAAGCUGAUUUAGUUUUCUUUCAGCCAGGUGAAUUAAGAGAGCAGGAGCUACUUCCUCCCAAGGCACAGGAGCUAAAAAGCAGAAGUGGAGAGGGUUUUUUGGCCCAGAGAGGCAGGAGCCACAGAGGAAAGCCAGGUCCAAGGGCUCUGGCAGAGGCUCUUCGGAGCACAUGACCUUUGCUCAUGGGGCAUUCUGAAUGGGAUCACAAACGAGGACCCAGAGGCUCACAGGUUUUGGAACUGUGUGGGAAGGUGCAGAGAAACCACGUUUGCUGUUGACCCAUCACUGGAAGGAAAUUGUGCCAGUAGUGUCAAAGGUAUCACAAUACAUGUUUAAAUUAUCCAUGGAAUUACAAUUGCUGCAAAUG